GACGCAUGUCUUUGUUGGGAAAGUGUUUAGUGGCAUGGGAUGGGGUCGCGUCCUAUCAGCUUGUAGCGGGGUAAUGGCCCCCACCCUAGGCUUCGACGGGUAGCCGGCCUGAGAGGGCGGACGGCCACAUUGGGACUGAGAUACGGCCCAGACUCCUACGGGGAGGCAGCAGUGGGGAAUAUUGCGCAAUGGGGGAAACCCUGACGCAGCGACGCCGCGUGCGGGAUGAAGGCCUUCGGGUUGUAAACCGCUUUUGAUUGGGGAGCAAGCUUUCGGGUGAGUGUACCUUUCGAAUAAGCGCCGGCUAACUACGUGCCAGCAGCCGCGGUAAU
This 332-nucleotide ribosomal RNA is filed under the name uncultured Gardnerella sp. RNAcentral's name for it is "bacterial SSU rRNA". It matches the Rfam family "Bacterial small subunit ribosomal RNA", at positions 185 to 524 of the family's 1533-position model. Lineage: Bacteria; Bacillati; Actinomycetota; Actinomycetes; Bifidobacteriales; Bifidobacteriaceae. The record is from RNAcentral.